Molecule: long non-coding RNA, 96 nt
Organism: Rhagoletis zephyria (snowberry fruit fly)
Lineage: Eukaryota; Metazoa; Arthropoda; Insecta; Diptera; Tephritidae
Source: RefSeq, a predicted model, not a curated record
AUUUUUGUUCAGGGUAGGCCAAUUUCACACUUUUGAAACUAGUAGUGGAACAAUGCUUUGCAUAUUGCCUCAUAAUAUUGAAGAAGGGUUCAGUUU